GAUGAACGCUGGCGGCGUGCUUAACACAUGCAAGUCGAACGGAAAGGCUCCUGCUUGCAGGGGUACUCGAGUGGCGAACGGGUGAGUAACACGUGGGUGAUCUGCUCUGCAUUUCGGGAUAAGCCUGGGAAACUGGGCCUACUACCGGACAGGACGAUGGUUUGGAUGCCAUUGUGGAAAGCUUUUUUGGUGUGGGAUGAGCGUGCGGCCUAUCAGCUUGUUGGUGGGGUAAUGGUCUACCACGGCGUCGACGGGUAGCCGGCCUGAGAGGGUGUACGGCCACAUGAGGACUAAGAUACGGACCAGACGCCUACGGGAGACAGAAGUGGGGAACAUUGCACAAUGAGCGCGAGCCGGAUGCGACGACGCCGCGUGGGGAAUGCCGUCCUUCUGGUUAUGAACUCCUGUCGCUAGAGACGAAGCGCAAGUGACGGUACCUAAAGAAGAAGCACCGGCUAACUACGUG
RNAcentral lists this ribosomal RNA (466 nucleotides) under uncultured bacterium. Its description in RNAcentral is "partial 16S ribosomal RNA". It matches the Rfam family "Bacterial small subunit ribosomal RNA", at positions 28 to 507 of the family's 1533-position model. The record is from RNAcentral.